UACGUAGGGUGCGAGCGUUAAUCGGAAUUACUGGGCGUAAAGCGUGCGCAGGCGGUGAUGUAAGACAGGUGUGAAAUCCCCGGGCUUAACCUGGGAACUGCAUUUGUGACUGCAUUGCUGGAGUGCGGCAGAGGGGGAUGGAAUUCCGCGUGUAGCAGUGAAAUGCGUAGAUAUGCGGAGGAACACCGAUGGCGAAGGCAAUCCCCUGGGCCUGCACUGACGCUCAUGCACGAAAGCGUGGGGAGCAAACAGG
Molecule: ribosomal RNA, 253 nt
Filed under: uncultured bacterium
Lineage: Bacteria
Description: partial 16S ribosomal RNA
Rfam family: Bacterial small subunit ribosomal RNA
Source: RNAcentral